This 503-nucleotide ribosomal RNA is filed under the name uncultured Lachnospiraceae bacterium. RNAcentral describes it as "bacterial SSU rRNA". It matches the Rfam family "Bacterial small subunit ribosomal RNA", at positions 1 to 507 of the family's 1533-position model. Lineage: Bacteria; Bacillati; Bacillota; Clostridia; Lachnospirales; Lachnospiraceae. The record is from RNAcentral.
UAGAGUUUUGAUCCUGGCUCAGGAUGAACGCUGGCGGCGUGCUUAACACAUGCAAGUCGAACGGAACUAUCCGAUUGAGAAUCUUCGGAAAGGAUUUGGUUUAGUUUAGUGGCGGACGGGUGAGUAACGCGUGGGUAACCUGCCCUAGUACAGGGGGAUAACAGUUGGAAACGACUGUUAAUACCGCAUAAGCGCACAGGAGCGCAUGCUCCGGUGUGAAAAACUCCGGUGGUAUAGGAUGGACCCGCGUCUGAUUAGCUGGUUGGCGGGGUAACGGCCCACCAAGGCGACGAUCAGUAGCCGGGCUGAGAGGGUGAACGGCCACAUUGGGACUGAGACACGGCCCAAACUCCUACGGGAGGCAGCAGUGGGGAAUAUUGCACAAUGGGGGGAACCCUGAUGCAGCGACGCCGCGUGAGCGAAGAAGUAUUUCGGUAUGUAAAGCUCUAUCAGCAGGGAAGAAAAUGACGGUACCUGACUAAGAAGCCCCGGCUAACUACGUG